RNAcentral lists this ribosomal RNA (1002 nucleotides) under Escherichia coli. Its description in RNAcentral is "partial 23S ribosomal RNA". It matches the Rfam family "Bacterial large subunit ribosomal RNA", at positions 152 to 1194 of the family's 2925-position model. Lineage: Bacteria; Pseudomonadati; Pseudomonadota; Gammaproteobacteria; Enterobacterales; Enterobacteriaceae. The record is from RNAcentral.
CAUUAACUGAAUCCAUAGGUUAAUGAGGCGAACCGGGGGAACUGAAACAUCUAAGUACCCCGAGGAAAAGAAAUCAACCGAGAUUCCCCCAGUAGCGGCGAGCGAACGGGGAGCAGCCCAGAGCCUGAAUCAGUAUGUGUGUUAGUGGAAGCGUCUGGAAAGGCGCGCGAUACAGGGUGACAGCCCCGUACACAAAAAUGCACAUGCUGUGAGCUCGAUGAGUAGGGCGGGACACGUGGUAUCCUGUCUGAAUAUGGGGGGACCAUCCUCCAAGGCUAAAUACUCCUGACUGACCGAUAGUGAACCAGUACCGUGAGGGAAAGGCGAAAAGAACCCCGGCGAGGGGAGUGAAAAAGAACCUGAAACCGUGUACGUACAAGCAGUGGGAGCACGCUUAGGCGUGUGACUGCGUACCUUUUGUAUAAUGGGUCAGCGACUUAUAUUCUGUAGCAAGGUUAACCGAAUAGGGGAGCCGAAGGGAAACCGAGUCUUAACUGGGCGUUAAGUUGCAGGGUAUAGACCCGAAACCCGGUGAUCUAGCCAUGGGCAGGUUGAAGGUUGGGUAACACUAACUGGAGGACCGAACCGACUAAUGUUGAAAAAUUAGCGGAUGACUUGUGGCUGGGGGUGAAAGGCCAAUCAAACCGGGAGAUAGCUGGUUCUCCCCGAAAGCUAUUUAGGUAGCGCCUCGUGAAUUCAUCUCCGGGGGUAGAGCACUGUUUCGGCAAGGGGGUCAUCCCGACUUACCAACCCGAUGCAAACUGCGAAUACCGGAGAAUGUUAUCACGGGAGACACACGGCGGGUGCUAACGUCCGUCGUGAAGAGGGAAACAACCCAGACCGCCAGCUAAGGUCCCAAAGUCAUGGUUAAGUGGGAAACGAUGUGGGAAGGCCCAGACAGCCAGGAUGUUGGCUUAGAAGCAGCCAUCAUUUAAAGAAAGCGUAAUAGCUCACUGGUCGAGUCGGCCUGCGCGGAAGAUGUAACGGGGCUAAACCAUGCAC